RNAcentral lists this transfer RNA (93 nucleotides) under Ganoderma leucocontextum. RNAcentral describes it as "tRNA-Ser". It matches the Rfam family "tRNA". Rfam says of the family: Transfer RNA (tRNA) molecules are approximately 80 nucleotides in length. Lineage: Eukaryota; Fungi; Basidiomycota; Agaricomycetes; Polyporales; Polyporaceae. The record is from RNAcentral.
GACACUAUGGCCGAGUGGUUAAGGCGACAGAUUCGAACUUCACCCGUCAUCUGUUUCCCUCUGGGAGCGCAGGUUCAAAUCCUGCUGGUGUCG